This is a long non-coding RNA of Mirounga angustirostris (Northern elephant seal), 3356 nucleotides long. RefSeq lists it as uncharacterized. NCBI's taxonomy places the organism in Eukaryota, Metazoa, Chordata, Mammalia, Carnivora, Phocidae. The transcript is spliced from 3 exons. The record is from RefSeq and is a predicted model, not a curated record.
CUACCGAGGGCCUGCUUCUUAUUGGCUAUUGGCUAGAGGCUGGCCUUGCGUCCUAGUCGCCCCCCCCAUUCCCUGCCACGAGGCCCCCUCCAUGGGCAGUUCCCAACAUGGCUGCUUGCUUCUUCAGGGCCAGCAAGAGAGCCUCUCUCCCCGGUCUGCUCAGAUGGGAGUCUCAUAGAAGCCAGCCUAACCAUGGGAGUGACCUCCUGUCACCAACACACAACGUGACCUAACUGCAGGACUGACAUCCUGUCACCUCUGCCAUAUUGUGGUUUUGAAACGAGUCACCGGUGCCGCCUGCAUUUGGGGAGGGCAGCAGUCUCUGUAACACCACAGUUGGUCUAUUCCCCCACCUCUGGACUCCCCCACCCUGCCCGGCAGUUUUUUUUCAUAGCACAUUCCAGUCUCUGACAUACUAUGUCAUCUCCUUAUUAGUAUGUUUACCAGGCUCAGGCACGCCUCGGAGGGCGAGGGAAGCGGGGCUCCAGACCGACGCAAUGAGGUGCCACCCAAGAGCUGGUGAAGCAAUACGUGGGGCUGAGCCUAGUGAGGCAUAAUUUUAGAGGCUUCCCUGUGAUCCUAACGGUCAGCCAGGUUUCCGGGGCAGCAGACGGCAGGCCCCCUCUGGCGCAGGGGCGCUCAGCCCAAGCUGUUCAUCUGAAACACCGCAGAGCUUAAGAGACUGCUACCCAGACCCCACCUCGUGGCGGGGGGGCGAGUGGACCCCUAACAUUGGUAUGAUUUGAAAGUGCCCCUAGAUGAUUCUUCUGGGCAUCCGGGGUCCAGAACUGCUGCUCCAGAGCACAGUCGUGGGGACUCACACAGGGUCUCAGUGAAGCUUCGGACGCGGAGCAAGGAGGAGACCCAAGAGUCAGGCCAUCAGGUUUCGUAUUCUUCCAAGAAACAUUGAUUCCUUACCUGUGGGCAUGUUCCUCAAUUAUGGGUCACACCCAUUUACCCGGAAGAGCUAACCUCUGGCCCCUUGAGCCUACAGUUUGUGACAAGGUGGGCGGUAAGUAGGCUCCUUCCCCAGGCUCAUCUGCUGACAGGCUUAAUAUAUAUAUAUUUAGUUUUAACUAGGCUCCACACCCAGCACGGAGCCCAACCCGGGGCCUGAACUCACGACCCAAGCUGAGAUCAAGAAUCGGACACCCACCGGCUGCACCAUGAAGGUGCCCACCGCCAGGCUUCUGGGAGCAUAAGUUCACUGUCAGGCCCGGCCUGGGCCCAGAGGCUGUGCGGUGCCUGCGAGGCUUCACUUGGUGACUGUAGGGUUGUGUGACCGCGUGGACGGAAGGCUUUCCUGCAGCUGUCACCUUCAAGGCUUGCUCAUCAGUGGAUGCUCCCAGGUCAGGGCUUCUGGGAUUGGGCCCCGGGGGGGGGGGGGGGCGUCCUCUGCAGCCGGAAGAGAACUGAGUCCUGGCACAGAUACCUCCAACUCACUGCUCAGCUCAGGCUCUUUCUGGGAGGAAUGAGGACAUGGGGGGAGGGGGAGCCGUGUGGAGGCUUUCCUGUGUUUCUCCAUUCCCACCCCCUGCCCCCCAUUCUCUGAGACCCUGCAGCCAGGCACCCCCCACCCCAGCAGCCCCACCACAGAGCCCAGCCGCCCCCCUGGUGCAUCCUCAGGCAGGACAUGCCUCUGUGCCAGGAGCGUCCUCUGAGGCUGAAAGGCCUGAGUGUCAGGCGACACUGAACCACAUGGGACCCCUCACCAGCUCUCAGGUGGGAGCCCAUGACUCCUCUCCUUCUGGAAGGUUCCAGGUGGGUCCUGGGUCCAUCAGCUUCUGCAAACUGGUCACUAGAGGGCCAGUGUUCAGCAAGCUCCAUCCUCAAGAACAUCCUGCUUUUGGGUCAGUGCUUCAUCCUUGGUUCUCGCAGAGAGAACAAGGACAGGAAGUGCACCAUGGCCACCUGCUUCCUGUUUUGGGAGAAAGGAAGUCCUGAGACCACCCCAGGACUCAAUCUUGGAAGGGGAGAGUGGACAAUGGCAGCUGACCCAGUGGGGCCAUGGGUGGGCAGGAGACGGGAAAAGCCCCAGCACCGUGGGAAGGAUGGAGGCUGCAGGCGCGGGAUGCCCAGGGAGUGUCUGUGUGCGCCCUCCCCCCCAGGCCCCUUGUUCCAGCAGGCAGGUCCUGUGGGCCCAGAAGAGGGAACAGAGCAUUCUUCCUGAGCUUGCUCCCAGUGCCAGAACUGGGUGGGGGUGCACAGGGCCCUGAGGUGGCCCCAGGGGCUGGUUUCGAGGUGGGGGUGGUGAGACAGCUUGGGUAGGAGUCUCUCAGCCUGUUUGUACUCUCCAUGUCAGGGGCCAGCUGUGGGGGAGCAGAAGGGAGCAGGGUGAGUGGGCAGACUCAGUGCUGGGAGGCGGAUAGAGCUUGAGCGAGCCUGGACCCCGCCCCCCCAAGACCAGCUCCGAGAGUCCGAGCAGGGACCACCACCAUCACCCCCGUCACUAGAGCACCACCAGCACGUGGCGGCCAAUACCUGUCGGCCUGCACACGGAGCCUAGGAGACGGGUUCUGCUUUUCUCUGGCUUUGUGGGCCAGGGCACUGCGCACAGAGAGGCCAUGUGGCUUGCGGAGAUCACACAGCUGGGAAGCGGCCCAUUCAGGCUUGAGGCCUGGCCAGGGGCCAGCCCUGGGGCUGCAUGGGCUCCUUGUCCUCUUAGCAGCUCCCAAGCACACUGACAAAGGCCAGGGAGACUCUCGACAGCAUCCAAGCGGCAGGGCCACCAGCUCCAGAAGUUUCCAGCAUUAGGCUCUUGAGGAGUAUCCUCUGGGGGUUCGAGUACCUGCAGUGCCCUGGGGUGAGGACCGCUGAAGUCUGACCGAGGCCUGGAGGCUGGUCUACCAACUGCAGCCUCUCCCUGUCCUAAGCUACUGGCCUCUGGGACAGACGUGUCCUUCCCUGUCCACGGGGAAGCCCGGCUCUUGGAAGCCUCAUGCCCCCUGCUUUCAGUCUAGAAGAGGGGACCUCUCCCAAGUGCCUACUGCCACCCACAGGCGACACCAGCAGAGCCGGAGGCCUGUCCAGAGGAGCGGCUCUGGCGUCUGAAGGACAGACUUCGGGGGAACCACGGGGUCAAAGGGUGUGCUGGCUUAGCCCCCCCGCCCCCGUGCUGCUAACAGCCCCUCCCAGACGCCUCGCUGACUUGUAUGCCCACUUCUAGAUUCCUGCGGAGGCUGAACAUUUUUGCUGCUUUGAUGAUGGACAGCUGUGUCAGGCUCCAGCACCCCCAAAUGCCACAACCUCCCGAGGGCGGGGGUGGGGGUGGGGGAUGGGCGCCACGAUCCUGAUUCCAGCGCGGAAGUGGGGCCUCUGCACGUGUUAACCUUGAAAAUAAAACUUCUAGUCAUUUU